GGCUCAUUAAAUCACACCUAAUCUACUGGAUAGUAAAAAGUUACUUGGAUAACUGCGGUAAUUCUGGAGCUAAUACAUGCACAAAGCCUCAACCUUACGGGAGAGGUGCUUUUAUUAGAUCAAAACCAAACGGCUUCGGCUGUACUCUUGGUGACUCUGAAUAACUUUGGGCUGAUCGCAUAGCCUUGCGCUGGCGACAUAUCCUUCGAAGGUGUGCCCUAUCAACUGUCGACUGUGGCAUAGACGCCCACAGUGGUUUUGACGGGUAACGGGGAAUCAGGGUUCGAUUCCGGAGAGGGAGCCUUAAAAACGGCUACCACAUCUAAGGAAGGCAGCAGGCACGCAAAUUACCCAAUGACCGAAGGUCGAGGUAGUGACGAAAAAUAACGAUAGCGGACUCUUCCGAGGCCCGCUAAUUGGAAUGAGUACACUUUAAAACCGUCCCCGAGGAUCUAUUGGAGGGCAAGUCUGGUGCCAGCAGCCGCGGUAAUUCCAGCUCCAAUAGCGUAUAUUAAAGUUGUUGUGGUUAAAAAGCUCGUAGUUGGAUCUCAACGGCCUUGGAGCGGUUUCAUGCUGAUAGACUGCUCUGUAGGCCGUGCUUUUGCUGGAGGUUUAGGGGUGCUCUUAAUCGAGUGUCUCUGGAUGCCAGCAGGUUUACUUUGAAAAAAUUAGAGUGCUCAAAGCAGGCUGUUACGCCUGAAUAUUCGUGCAUGGAAUAAUAGAAUAGGAUGUCGAUCCUAUUUUGUUGGUUUUCGGGACUCGACAUAAUGAUUAAUAGGGACAGUCGGGGGCAUUUGUAUUCAAACGACAGAGGUGAAAUUCUUGGACCGUUUGAAGACAAACUACUGCGAAAGCAUUUGCCAAGAAUGUUUUCAUUAAUCAAGAACGAAAGUUAGAGGUUCGAAGGCGAUUAGAUACCGCCCUAGUUCUAACCAUAAACGAUGCCAGCUAGCGAUCUGCCGGCGUUUAAACUUAAGACUCGGCAGGAAGCUUCCGGGAAACCAAAGCAUUUGGGUUCCAGGGGAAGUAUGGUUGCAAAGCUGAAACUUAAAGGAAUUGACGGAAGGGCACCACCAGGAGUGGAGCCUGUGGCUUAAUUUGACUCAACACGGGAAAUCUCACCAGGCCCGGACACUGGAAGGAUUGACAGAUUGAUAGCUCUUUCUUGAUUCGGUGGGUGGUGGUGCAUGGCCGUUCUUAGUUGGUGGAGUGAUUUGUCUGGUUAAUUCCGAUAACGAACGAGACUCUGUCCUGCUAAAUAGUGUCUACUUCUCUUUUGAGUAGACAAUUCUUCUUAGAGGGACUGGCAACUCUUAGUUGCACGAGAUUGAGCAAUAACAGGUCUGUGAUGCCCUUAGAUGUUCUGGGCCGCACACGCGCUACACUGAAUAGAUCAGCGUGUCACCCUUCCUGAAAAGGACGGGUAAACCGCUGAACCCUAUUCGUGGUAGGGAUCGGGGCUUGCAAUUAUUCCCCGUGAACCAGGAAUUCCCAGUAGGCGCAAGUCAUAAGCUUGCGUCGAUUACGUCCCUGCCCUUUGUACACACCGCCCGUCGCUACUACCGAUUGAACGUUUU
Molecule: ribosomal RNA, 1577 nt
Filed under: Paracalanus aculeatus
Lineage: Eukaryota; Metazoa; Arthropoda; Copepoda; Calanoida; Paracalanidae
Also listed under: 1 other name
Description: SSU rRNA
Rfam family: Eukaryotic small subunit ribosomal RNA
Source: RNAcentral